This 544-nucleotide long non-coding RNA is filed under the name Mytilus galloprovincialis (Mediterranean mussel). The record is from RNAcentral. Lineage: Eukaryota; Metazoa; Mollusca; Bivalvia; Mytilida; Mytilidae.
CCCUGUUUUUCUGUAAUGGCCGUGUUUUUUACUGUAAUGGCCCUGUAUUAAUGCCCAGUUUGUCUGUAUUAAGCCCAGUUAGGGUUUUUAAUAAAGUUAAUAAAAUUGAAUUGUAAAGAGUAUAAUAUAAAAAAGAAGAUGUGGUAUGAUUGCCAAUGAGACAACUCUACACAAAAGACCAAAAUGACACAGACAUUAACAACUAUAGGUCACCGUACGACCUUCAACAAUGAGCAAAGGCCAUACCGCAUAGUCAGCUAUAAAAGGCCCCGAUAAGAUAAUGUAAAACAAUUCAAACGAGAAAACUAACGGCCUUAUUUAUGUAAAAAAAAUGAACGAAAAACAAAUAUAUAACACAUAAACAAACGACAACCACUGAAUUACAGGCUCCUGACUUGGGACAGGCACAUACAUAAAUAAUAAAAUACCUAUUUUAUUUUAUUUAGUAACCAGCAACCAACAUUAAAGAAACAUAUUAAGGGAUCACUGUUCAUCCUUUUUUUUCAACACAUAACUUCUUUCAACUUUAUAUCUUGGAUAUUUG